UGGUACUUGACACCUUUCUGUGAUAGAACUGGUCCAGAUUUCAUACAACCGAUAUAAACACGGGGUUUUGAUCUAUGGCGAGCCAAUGCAGAGCCAAUCAUACCAAGAUUUAUGUGUAUGUCAUCAUCGACUUUGAUAUAGAAGUCAGCAUCCCACCUAGCAACAGCAGUUGAAAAGUAUAUUUGUGUUUUCGAUGACAAUUCAUGAUAUCCUUCAAUGUGAUUCAGCCGCAGGAAAUCCUUAUGCUGCUCUUCUUCUGCAUCAAUAGCACGAUCCAA
Molecule: unclassified non-coding RNA, 278 nt
Filed under: Hevea brasiliensis (rubber tree)
Lineage: Eukaryota; Viridiplantae; Streptophyta; Magnoliopsida; Malpighiales; Euphorbiaceae
Source: RNAcentral